UGCAUAUCAAUAAGCGGAGGAAAAGAAACUAACAAGGAUUCCCCUAGUAACGGCGAGUGAAGCGGGAAAAGCUCAAAUUUGUAAUCUGGCGCCUUCGGCGUCCGAGUUGUAAUCUCGAGAAGUAUUUUCCGCGCUGGACCGCACAUAAGUCUGUUGGAAUACAGCGUCAUAGUGGUGAGAACCCCGUAUAUGGUGCGGAUGCCCAGUGCUUUGUGAUAUACUUUCGAAGAGUCGAGUUGUUUGGGAAUGCAGCUCAAAUUGGGUGGUAAAUUCCAUCUAAAGCUAAAUAUUGGCGAGAGACCGAUAGCGAACAAGUACCGUGAGGGAAAGAUGAAAAGCACUUUGGAAAGAGAGUUAACAGUACGUGAAAUUGUUGGAAGGGAAACGCUUGAAGUCAGACUUGCAUUUUGGAGUUCAGCCGCAAGGUGUAUUCUUCAAUUCGCAGGCCAGCAUCAGUUUUCGGGGGUGGAAAAUCGCGGUUUGAAGGUAGCAGUCUAGGCUGUGUUAUAGCUUUCCGCUGGAUUCACUUUUGGGGACUGAGGAACGCAGUACGCUUUUUGCAAGAUUCUAGAGUCUUUCGUACUUAGGAUGCUGGUGGAAUGGCUUUAAACGACCCGUCUUGAAACA
RNAcentral lists this ribosomal RNA (627 nucleotides) under Microbotryum cordae. Its description in RNAcentral is "LSU rRNA". It matches the Rfam family "Eukaryotic large subunit ribosomal RNA", at positions 37 to 661 of the family's 3401-position model. The record is from RNAcentral. Lineage: Eukaryota; Fungi; Basidiomycota; Microbotryomycetes; Microbotryales; Microbotryaceae.